RNAcentral lists this ribosomal RNA (116 nucleotides) under Chinchilla lanigera (long-tailed chinchilla). The record is from RNAcentral. Lineage: Eukaryota; Metazoa; Chordata; Mammalia; Rodentia; Chinchillidae.
GUCUACAGCCAGACCACGCUGCACAUGCCUGGUCCCGUAUGAUCUCAGGAGCUAAGCACGGUCAGGCCUGGUUAGCACUUGGAUGGCAGAAAGCAAUGCACUGGGAGGCUGAGGCA